UACAGAGGUCUCAAGCGUUGUUCGGAUUCAUUGGGCGUAAAGGGUGUGUAGGUGGCGCGCUAAGUCGGGUGUGAAAUUUCGGAGCUUAACUCCGAAACUGCAUUCUAUACUGGCGUGCUUGAGGACUGGAGAGGAGACUGGAAUUCAUGGUGUAGCAGUGAAAUGCGUAGAGAUCAUGAGGAAGACCAGUGGCGAAGGCGGGUCUCUGGACAGUUCCUGACACUGAGACACGAAGGCCAGGGGAGCAAACGGG
RNAcentral lists this ribosomal RNA (253 nucleotides) under uncultured bacterium. RNAcentral describes it as "partial 16S ribosomal RNA". It matches the Rfam family "Bacterial small subunit ribosomal RNA", at positions 524 to 776 of the family's 1533-position model. The record is from RNAcentral.